GUCUUGAUAGCUUAAUAUAAAGCAUCGGUCUUGUAAGCCGAAGACUGGAGGCUAACCCCUCCUCAAGACUUCCCUUAAAACUU
This 83-nucleotide transfer RNA is filed under the name Xenopus clivii (Eritrea clawed frog). Its description in RNAcentral is "tRNA-Thr". The stretch from base 1 to 70 matches the Rfam family "tRNA". Rfam says of the family: Transfer RNA (tRNA) molecules are approximately 80 nucleotides in length. Their secondary structure includes four short double-helical elements and three loops (D, anti-codon, and T loops). The record is from RNAcentral. Lineage: Eukaryota; Metazoa; Chordata; Amphibia; Anura; Pipidae.